CAGGAUCAUGGUGGCACAGGAAGGGAUGGCUGGAUAGUAGAAUGCAUCCUCCACAUCUUCAGGAAAGGACAGAGAUACCUCAACAGGAGAAGUUGGGCAGAGACAGGCAAGUGCUGCCUCCAUUUCCAGCCUCAUGAUGGUUCCUGGGCCAUAGCAAAGCCUGAUGGCCACUACAAUGCUGAUGUCAAACUGGUCAGUGGGUUCAGUGGAAGGUUUGGCUACCGCGGGAACACCCCAGCUCUCCGUCGGAGCACGUCUGUCUUUGGAGAGGUCACCCACUUCCCUCUGU
Molecule: long non-coding RNA, 289 nt
Filed under: Homo sapiens (human)
Lineage: Eukaryota; Metazoa; Chordata; Mammalia; Primates; Hominidae
Description: non-protein coding lnc-DCAF4-1:1
Source: RNAcentral